This 235-nucleotide long non-coding RNA is filed under the name Mytilus galloprovincialis (Mediterranean mussel). The record is from RNAcentral. Lineage: Eukaryota; Metazoa; Mollusca; Bivalvia; Mytilida; Mytilidae.
UGUAUUUUGUGCUAAUCUUAAGCAGUCAUCAAUCCGUCAAAUUGUAGAUUUCAGCUCAUUUAGGAGACUGGUCUUUAAAAAGAUCAGUAGAUGCUCCUAUCGAUAUCAGGAAUUGUGUAUUUUAAGUUCCAAGGCCUGAGCCAAAUGUCAAACGCCCAUAAAGUAUUUUACCAAAAAAAAACAUUUUUGGGGAUUUUGACAUAAUUGUUACUUUUCUGAUACCCUCUACUGCAAC